This 484-nucleotide ribosomal RNA is filed under the name uncultured bacterium. RNAcentral's name for it is "partial 16S ribosomal RNA". It matches the Rfam family "Bacterial small subunit ribosomal RNA", at positions 30 to 507 of the family's 1533-position model. The record is from RNAcentral.
AUUGAACGCUGGCGGCAGGCCUAACACAUGCAAGUCGAGCGGAUAAAGGGAGCUUGCUCCUGGAUUCAGCGGCGGACGGGUGAGUAAUGCCUAGGAAUCUGCCUGGUAGUGGGGGAUAACGUCCGGAAACGGGCGCUAAUACCGCAUACGUCCUGAGGGAGAAAUUGGGGGAUCUUCGGACCUCACGCUAUCAUAUGAGCCUAGGUCGGAUUAGCUAGUUGGUGGGGUAAAGGCCUACCAAGGCGACGAUCCGUAACUGGUCUGAGAGGAUGAUCAGUCACACUGGAACUGAGACACGGUCCAGACUCCUACGGGAGGCAGCAGUGGGGAAUAUUGGACAAUGGGCGAAAGCCUGAUCCAGCCAUGCCGCGUGUGUGAAGAAGGUCUUCGGAUUGUAAAGCACUUUAAGUUGGGAGGAAGGGCAGUAAGUUAAUACCUUGCUGUUUUGACGUUACCAACAGAAUAAGCACCGGCUAACUUCGUG